This 504-nucleotide ribosomal RNA is filed under the name uncultured bacterium. Its description in RNAcentral is "partial 16S ribosomal RNA". It matches the Rfam family "Bacterial small subunit ribosomal RNA", at positions 30 to 523 of the family's 1533-position model. The record is from RNAcentral.
AUUGAACGCUGGCGGCAGGCCUAACACAUGCAAGUCGAACGGUAGCACAGAGAGCUUGCUCUCGGGUGACGAGUGGCGGACGGGUGAGUAAUGUCUGGGAAACUGCCCGAUGGAGGGGGAUAACUACGGGAAACGGUAGCUAAUACCGCAUAACGUCGCAAGACCAAAGUGGGGGACCUUCGGGCCUCACACCAUCGGAUGUGCCUAGAUGGGAUUAGCUAGUAGGUGGGGUAAUGGCUCACCUAGGCGCCGAUCCCUAGCUGGUCUGAGAGGAUGACCAGCCACACUGGAACUGAGCCACGGUCCAGACUCCUACGGGAGGCAGCAGUGGGGAAUAUUGCACAAUGGGCGCAAGCCUGAUGCAGCCAUGCCGCGUGUAUGAAGAAGGCCUUCGGGUUGUAAAGUACUUUCAGCGGGGAGGAAGGCGGUGGAGUUAAUAGCUUCACCGAUUGACGUUACCCGCAGAAGAAGCACCGGCUAACUCCGUGCCAGCAGCCGCGGUAA